This 253-nucleotide ribosomal RNA is filed under the name uncultured bacterium. RNAcentral's name for it is "partial 16S ribosomal RNA". It matches the Rfam family "Bacterial small subunit ribosomal RNA", at positions 524 to 776 of the family's 1533-position model. The record is from RNAcentral.
UACGGAGGUCCCAAGCGUUAUUCGGAAUCACUGGGCGUAAAGCGUGUGUAGGCGGCGUGGUAAGUCAGAUGUGAAAGGCAGGAGCUCAACUCCUGGACUGCAUCCGAUACUGCCAUGCUAGAGGAUCGAAGGGGAGUCUGGAAUUCAUGGUGUAGCAGUGAAAUGCGUAGAUAUCAUGAGGAACACUAGUGGCGAAGGCGAGACUCUGGGAGAUACCUGACGCUGAGACACGAAGGCCAGGGGAGCGAACAGG